RNAcentral lists this ribosomal RNA (472 nucleotides) under uncultured Pseudomonas sp. RNAcentral's name for it is "bacterial SSU rRNA". It matches the Rfam family "Bacterial small subunit ribosomal RNA", at positions 54 to 521 of the family's 1533-position model. The record is from RNAcentral. Lineage: Bacteria; Pseudomonadati; Pseudomonadota; Gammaproteobacteria; Pseudomonadales; Pseudomonadaceae.
CAUGCAAGUCGAGCGGAUGACGGGAGCUUGCUCCUUGAUUCAGCGGCGGACGGGUGAGUAAUGCCUAGGAAUCUGCCUGGUAGUGGGGGACAACGUUUCGAAAGGAACGCUAAUACCGCAUACGUCCUACGGGAGAAAGCAGGGGACCUUCGGGCCUUGCGCUAUCAGAUGAGCCUAGGUCGGAUUAGCUAGUUGGUGGGGUAAUGGCUCACCAAGGCGACGAUCCGUAACUGGUCUGAGAGGAUGAUCAGUCACACUGGAACUGAGACACGGUCCAGACUCCUACGGGAGGCAGCAGUGGGGAAUAUUGGACAAUGGGCGAAAGCCUGAUCCAGCCAUGCCGCGUGUGUGAAGAAGGUCUUCGGAUUGUAAAGCACUUUAAGUUGGAAGGAAGGGCAGUAAGCUAAUACCUUGCUGUUUUGACGUUACCGACAGAAUAAGCACCGGCUUACUCUGUGCCAGCAGCCGCGGU